This 497-nucleotide ribosomal RNA is filed under the name uncultured bacterium. RNAcentral describes it as "partial 16S ribosomal RNA". It matches the Rfam family "Bacterial small subunit ribosomal RNA", at positions 28 to 507 of the family's 1533-position model. The record is from RNAcentral.
GAUGAACGCUGGCGGCGUGCCUAAUACAUGCAAGUCGAGCGAACGGACGAGAAGCUUGCUUCUCUGAUGUUAGCGGCGGACGGGUGAGUAACACGUGGAUAACCUACCUAUAAGACUGGGAUAACUUCGGGAAACCGGAGCUAAUACCGGAUAAUAUUUUGAACCGCAUGGUUCAAAAGUGAAAGACGGUCUUGCUGUCACUUAUAGAUGGAUCCGCGCUGCAUUAGCUAGUUGGUAAGGUAACGGCUUACCAAGGCAACGAUGCAUAGCCGACCUGAGAGGGUGAUCGGCCACACUGGAACUGAGACACGGUCCAGACUCCUACGGGAGGCAGCAGUAGGGAAUCUUCCGCAAUGGGCGAAAGCCUGACGGAGCAACGCCGCGUGAGUGAUGAAGGUCUUCGGAUCGUAAAACUCUGUUAUUAGUGGAGAACAUAUGUGUAAGUAACUGUGCACAUCUUGACGGUACCUAAUCAGAAAGCCACGGCUAACUACGUG